UGAACAGAUAAUUAAAAACAAAAAGAAUCUCCCCUCUGUAUGCCAGGUAGAGAAACAGGAAGUGCAAAGGUAAGUCCUUAAGUAGAAAUCAAGCUUCGCUUGAUGAAAGAAGACCAGUCAGGCUGGCACAGAAUGAACAAUGGAGAGAGUUGCAGGAAAUUGCCUGGAUUGAAGGUCUCUGGUAAGGUUGUGUGGUUUAUAUUUCAGAAGCCAUUGGAGAAUUUCAAGCCCAUGGUUCUGACAUGAUCAGACUUAUACUUUUAAUGACGACUAUGGUUGCUGAUUGAAGAAACAAGAGUGGAGGCAGGGAGGCCAGUUAGGAGGCUCUAUAAGUAGGCAGGUAAGGGUGAUAGUAUUUAAAAUAGAGGAGGAGAGAUGAAGAUGGCAAGAAGUGAUCAGACUGGAAAAAAAAUUUGAAGGUAGAGCUGAAAGAACUUGCUGUUGGAUUGCAUGGAAGUGAUGGUAAAGGAAAGAUAGGAAGUGCAGUCUGUAGAUUUUUAGUCCUUACUCACCCCUGGGGGCUUGAAAUGCCCAUAAGCUGAUCAACAACAGAAAAGUACUAUCUCCCCACCCCCACAGACAUACAGUGGAGAUAAUGACCAGCCUACUUUCUCCUGAAUCAAGCACAUACCUAUCAGGCCCCAAUGAAAUUUCAAAUAGUUUUUUAGUAAAGAGUUUACGUAGUUAUUUUCAAGCUGUAUAGAUUUGGGAGACAGGAAAGACCUUAUAUCCAUUAUAGGGCCUGCUCUUUUAUUAAAUGACCACUGCCAAAGUCUUUUGCCUUGGAUGCUGGUAAGGAAUAAAGGCUGGGUUUUAUGGGUAUGCUUUUGUUUCCUGUCUCCUCAUCUUUUCCUCUGUCCCUGAACUUUCUCUCUUUAGUAUUUACUACAGCUUAUGCUUUCCAACAAGAUCUGCUGAUCUUCAUCCUAAAAUCAAUUCUCAACCCCAACAAACACUUCCUUAUGUCUUAAUCAUUUAGCCAUAUUAGGCACAGACAACUUAUCAGUGAAUUUUUUGCCCAAUUACUGCUAUUUCACAAAGGGAAGAUGAUUGAAUUUAUCGUGAGUGAAGACUGAAUUUUGGUCAUUUGUAUAGGUCUAGAUGUGAAGGUAGAAAUGAGGAUGAGAUUGUGGUAGGAAUUUUAUGUGUGUGUGUGUGUGUGUGUGCAUGUGUGUGUGUGUGUGACAUGUAAAGGAUGAAUUAGUGACCCUUGCAUUCUAGAAUUAAGAAAAUCUUAUUCUUUCUUAUUUGGGGCUAUAUUGCUAAGAUUUCUGCAUUAUUUAACAGUGAAUGGU
RNAcentral lists this long non-coding RNA (1295 nucleotides) under Sus scrofa (pig). RNAcentral describes it as "lncRNA (ENSSSCG00070024275.1)". Lineage: Eukaryota; Metazoa; Chordata; Mammalia; Artiodactyla; Suidae. The record is from RNAcentral.